UGGGGAAUAUUGCACAAUGGGCGCAAGCCUGAUGCAGCCAUGCCGCGUGUGUGAAGAAGGCCUUCGGGUUGUAAAGCACUUUCAGCGGGGAGGAAGGCGUUAAGGUUAAUAACCUUGGCGAUUGACGUUACCCGCAGAAGAAGCACCGGCUAACUCCGUGCCAGCAGCCGCGGUAAUACGGAGGGUGCAAGCGUUAAUCGGAAUUACUGGGCGUAAAGCGCACGCAGGCGGUCUGUCAAGUCGGAUGUGAAAUCCCCGGGCUCAACCUGGGAACUGCAUUCGAAACUGGCAGGCUAGAGUCGUGUAGAGGGGGGUAGAAAUCCAGGUGUAGCGGUGAAAUGCGUAGAGAUCUGGAGGAAUACCGGUGGCGAAGGCGACCCCCUGGACAAAGACUGACGCUCAGGUGCGAAAGCGUGGGGAGCAAACAGG
This 429-nucleotide ribosomal RNA is filed under the name Chloroflexota bacterium. RNAcentral's name for it is "Chloroflexi bacterium partial 16S ribosomal RNA". It matches the Rfam family "Bacterial small subunit ribosomal RNA", at positions 355 to 776 of the family's 1533-position model. Lineage: Bacteria; Bacillati; Chloroflexota. The record is from RNAcentral.